GAUGAAGAACGUAGUGAAAUGCGAUAAGUAAUGUGAAUUGCAGAAUUCAGUGAAUCAUCGAAUCUUCGAACGCACAUUGCGCCCGCCAGUAUUCUGGCGGGCAUGCCUGUCCGAGCGUCAUUUCAACCCUCGAACCCCUCCGGGGGGUCGGCGUUGGGGACCUCGGGAGCCCCUAAGACGGGAUCCCGGCCCCGAAAUACAGUGGCGGUCUCGCCGCAGCCUCUCCUGCGCAGUAGUUUGCACAACUCGCACCGGGAGCGCGGCGCGUCCACGUCCGUAAAACACCCAACUUCUGAAAUGUUGACCUCGGAUCAGGUAGGAAUACCCGCUGAACUUAAGCAUAUCAAUAAGCGGAGGA
This 358-nucleotide unclassified non-coding RNA is filed under the name soil metagenome. RNAcentral describes it as "partial contains 5.8S ribosomal RNA, internal transcribed spacer 2, and large subunit ribosomal RNA". The stretch from base 1 to 120 matches the Rfam family "5.8S ribosomal RNA", at positions 35 to 154 of the family's 154-position model. The record is from RNAcentral.